This 885-nucleotide ribosomal RNA is filed under the name Massarina tangneyae. RNAcentral's name for it is "partial large subunit ribosomal RNA". It matches the Rfam family "Eukaryotic large subunit ribosomal RNA", at positions 50 to 955 of the family's 3401-position model. The record is from RNAcentral. Lineage: Eukaryota; Fungi; Ascomycota; Dothideomycetes; Pleosporales; Massarinaceae.
GCGGAGGAAAAGAAACCAACUGGGAUUGCCCUAGUAACGGCGAGUGAAGCGGCAACAGCUCAAAUUUGAAAUCUGGCUCCUUUGGGGUCCGAGUUGUAAUUUGCAGAGGGUGCUUUGGCGUUGGUGGCGGUCUAAGUUCCUUGGAACAGGACAUCACAGAGGGUGAGAAUCCCGUACGUGGUCGCCCGCCUUCGCCGUGUAAAGCCCCUUCGACGAGUCGAGUUGUUUGGGAAUGCAGCUCUAAAUGGGAGGUAAAUUUCUUCUAAAGCUAAAUACUGGCCAGAGACCGAUAGCGCACAAGUAGAGUGAUCGAAAGAUGAAAAGCACUUUGGAAAGAGAGUCAAACAGCACGUGAAAUUGUUGAAAGGGAAGCGCUUGCAGCCAGACUUGCCCGCAGUUGCUCACCUAGGCUUUUGCCUGGGGCACUCUUCUGCGGGCAGGCCAGCAUCAGUUUGGGCGGUUGGAUAAAGGCCUCUGUCACGUAUCUUCCUUCGGGAUGAACUUAUAGGGGAGGCGACAUGCAACCAGCCCGGACUGAGGACCGCGCUUCGGCUAGGAUGCUGGCGUAAUGGCUGUAAGCGGCCCGUCUUGAAACACGGACCAAGGAGUCUAACAUCUAUGCGAGUGUUUGGGUGUCAAGCCCGGGCGCGUAAUGAAAGUGAACGGAGGUGGGAACCCUCGGGUGCACCAUCGACCGAUCCUGAUGUCUUCGGAUGGAUUUGAGUAAGAGCAUAGCUGUUGGGACCCGAAAGAUGGUGAACUAUGCUUGAAUAGGGUGAAGCCAGAGGAAACUCUGGUGGAGGCUCGCAGCGGUUCUGACGUGCAAAUCGAUCGUCAAAUUUGGGCAUAGGGGCGAAAGACUAAUCGAACUAUCUAGUAGCUGGU